This 451-nucleotide ribosomal RNA is filed under the name uncultured bacterium. RNAcentral's name for it is "bacterial SSU rRNA". It matches the Rfam family "Bacterial small subunit ribosomal RNA", at positions 328 to 794 of the family's 1533-position model. The record is from RNAcentral.
UUCCCAGACUCCUACGGGAGGCAGCAGUGGGGAAUAUUGGGCAAUGGGCGCAAGCCUGACCCAGCAACGCCGCGUGAAGGAAGAAGGCUUUCGGGUUGUAAACUUCUUUUAAGGGGGAAGAGCAGAAGACGGUACCCCUUGAAUAAGCCACGGCUAACUACGUGCCAGCAGCCGCGGUAAUACGUAGGUGGCAAGCGUUGUCCGGAUUUACUGGGUGUAAAGGGCGUGCAGCCGGGACUGCAAGUCAGAUGUGAAAUCCGCGGGCUUAACCCGCGAACUGCAUUUGAAACUGCGGAUCUUGAGUACCGGAGAGGUUAUCGGAAUUCCUUGUGUAGCGGUGAAAUGCGUAGAUAUAAGGAAGAACACCAGUGGCGAAGGCGGAUAACUGGACGGCAACUGACGGUGAGGCGCGAAAGCGUGGGGAGCAAACAGGAUUAGAUACCCCUGUACC